RNAcentral lists this ribosomal RNA (475 nucleotides) under Cryptosporidium sp. rat genotype II. RNAcentral describes it as "SSU rRNA". It matches the Rfam family "Eukaryotic small subunit ribosomal RNA", at positions 369 to 874 of the family's 1831-position model. The record is from RNAcentral. Lineage: Eukaryota; Apicomplexa; Conoidasida; Eucoccidiorida; Cryptosporidiidae.
AUUAGGGUUCGAUUCCGGAGAGGGAGCCUGAGAAACGGCUACCACAUCUAAGGAAGGCAGCAGGCGCGCAAAUUACCCAAUCCUAAUACAGGGAGGUAGUGACAAGAAAUAACAAUACAGGACCUUUCGGUUUUGUAAUUGGAAUGAGUUAAGUAUAAACCCCUUUACAAGUAUCAAUUGGAGGGCAAGUCUGGUGCCAGCAGCCGCGGUAAUUCCAGCUCCAAUAGCGUAUAUUAAAGUUGUUGCAGUUAAAAAGCUCGUAGUUGGAUUUCUGUUAAUUACUUUAUAUAAUCUGCACUUUCGUGUAGUUAUAUAGUAUUAGCAUAAUUCAUAUUACUAUUUUAGUAUAUGAAAUUUUACUUUGAGAAAAUUAGAGUGCUUAAAGCAGGCUUUUGCCUUGAAUACUUCAGCAUGGAAUAAUAAUUAAAGAUUUUUAUCUUUCUUAUUGGUUCUAAGAUAAAAAUAAUGAUUAAUA